This 1446-nucleotide ribosomal RNA is filed under the name Vibrio parahaemolyticus. RNAcentral describes it as "partial 23S ribosomal RNA". It matches the Rfam family "Bacterial large subunit ribosomal RNA", at positions 1 to 1506 of the family's 2925-position model. The record is from RNAcentral. Lineage: Bacteria; Pseudomonadati; Pseudomonadota; Gammaproteobacteria; Vibrionales; Vibrionaceae.
GGUUAAGUGACUAAGCGUACACGGUGGAUGCCUUGGCAGUCAGAGGCGAUGAAAGACGUAGUAACUUGCGAUAAGCCCAGAUUAGGUAGUAACAACCAUUUGAGUCUGGGAUUUCUGAAUGGGGAAACCCACGUGCAUAAGCACGUAUCCUUACCUGAAUACAUAGGGUAAGGAGGCGAACCGGGGGAACUGAAACAUCUAAGUACCCCGAGGAAAAGAAAUCAACCGAGAUUCCGAAAGUAGCGGCGAGCGAAAUUGGACUAGCCCUUAAGCUUUACACGCGUUAGACGAACGGUCUGGAAAGUCCGACGAUACAGGGUGAUAGUCCCGUAGUUGACGACGUGUGUUCAGUGAAAUCGAGUAGGGCGGGACACGUGAUAUCCUGUCUGAAUAUGGGGGGACCAUCCUCCAAGGCUAAAUACUACUGACUGACCGAUAGUGAACCAGUACCGUGAGGGAAAGGCGAAAAGAACCCCUGUGAGGGGAGUGAAAUAGAACCUGAAACCGUGUACGUACAAGCAGUAGGAGCAGGCUUUGUCCUGUGACUGCGUACCUUUUGUAUAAUGGGUCAGCGACUUAUAUUCAGUGGCAAGGUUAACCAUCUAGGGGAGCCGUAGGGAAACCGAGUCUUAACUGGGCGUUCAGUCUCUGGAUAUAGACCCGAAACCAGGUGAUCUAGCCAUGGGCAGGUUGAAGGUUGAGUAACAUCAACUGGAGGACCGAACCGACUAAUGUUGAAAAAUUAGCGGAUGACUUGUGGCUAGGGGUGAAAGGCCAAUCAAACCUGGAGAUAGCUGGUUCUCCCCGAAAGCUAUUUAGGUAGCGCCUCGGACGAAUACUACUGGGGGUAGAGCACUGUUAAGGCUAGGGGGUCAUCCCGACUUACCAACCCUUUGCAAACUCCGAAUACCAGUAAGUACUAUCCGGGAGACACACGGCGGGUGCUAACGUCCGUCGUGGAGAGGGAAACAACCCAGACCGCCAGCUAAGGUCCCAAAUUACUACUAAGUGGGAAACGAUGUGGGAAGGCUCAGACAGCCAGGAUGUUGGCUUAGAAGCAGCCAUCAUUUAAAGAAAGCGUAAUAGCUCACUGGUCGAGUCGGCCUGCGCGGAAGAUGUAACGGGGCUAAGUAGUAAACCGAAGCUGCGGCAAUGUGCUUUUGCACAUUGGGUAGGGGAGCGUUCUGUAAGCGGUUGAAGGUGUGUGGUAACGCAUGCUGGACGUAUCAGAAGUGCGAAUGCUGACAUGAGUAACGAUAAAGGGGGUGAAAAACCUCCUCGCCGGAAGACCAAGGGUUCCUGUCCAACGUUAAUCGGGGCAGGGUAAGUCGACCCCUAAGGCGAGGCCGAAAGGCGUAGUCGAUGGGAAACGGGUUAAUAUUCCCGUACUUCUUACAAUUGCGAUGGGGGGACGGAGAAGGCUAGGUGGGCCUGGCGACGGUUGUC